This 228-nucleotide ribosomal RNA is filed under the name uncultured bacterium. Its description in RNAcentral is "partial 16S ribosomal RNA". It matches the Rfam family "Bacterial small subunit ribosomal RNA", at positions 568 to 795 of the family's 1533-position model. The record is from RNAcentral.
CAUGUAGGCGGCAUGACAAGUCUGGUGUGAAAUAUCUUGGCUCAACCGAGAAAACGCACUGGAAACUAUCAAGCUUGAGUAUCGGAGGGGAAGCUAGAAUUCCUGGUGUAGGGGUGAAAUCUGUAGAUAUCAGGAAGAAUACCGGUGGCGAAGGCGAGCUUCUGGCCAGAUACUGACGCUGAGAUGCGAAAGCGUGGGGAGCGAACAGGAUUAGAUACCCUGGUAGUC